Molecule: non-coding RNA, 297 nt
Organism: Zonotrichia albicollis (white-throated sparrow)
Lineage: Eukaryota; Metazoa; Chordata; Aves; Passeriformes; Passerellidae
Source: RefSeq, a predicted model, not a curated record
GCUGCUUUCACCGGGACCCACGGGGUGAUGGCGAAAGGAAGAGGCUUGAGCCUGUUCUGUACGGGGUUCUGAGCAACCUGGUGUAGUCAAUGGCGUCCCUGCUUAUGGCAUCAGUCUCCAGGUUACUUCACCAGCAUAGAACAUGGUGUACUGGUUGAAGCCUACGUUGGUAAUGCAGUAACUUCCCAGCAGCCACUUAUGAACAUCAGCAAGGAGUCCUUCAUAAGAAAUUGUAAAUGCAGACAAGAACUAAUCUCAUUCUUUGGAGUAUGCUACUAUGGGGCACUUCAUAUAAGG